This 426-nucleotide ribosomal RNA is filed under the name uncultured bacterium. RNAcentral describes it as "partial 16S ribosomal RNA". It matches the Rfam family "Bacterial small subunit ribosomal RNA", at positions 354 to 796 of the family's 1533-position model. The record is from RNAcentral.
GUGAGGAAUUUUCCGCAAUGGGCGAAAGCCUGACGGAGCAAUGCCGCGUGAAGGAUGAAGGCCUAUGGGUUGUAAACUUCUUUUCUUAGAGAAGAAUAUUGACGGUAUCUGAGGAAUAAGCAUCGGCUAACUCCGUGCCAGCAGCCGCGGUAAUACGGAGGAUCCAAGCGUUGUCCGGAUUUAUUGGGUUUAAAGGGUGCGUAGGCGGAUCUUUAAGUCAGUGGUGAAAGCCUGCAGCUUAACUGUAGAAUUGCCAUUGAAACUGAAGAUCUUGAAUGUGGUUAAAGUAGGCGGAAUGUAUCAUGUAGCGGUGAAAUGCUUAGAUAUGAUACAGAACACCGAUAGCGAAGGCAGCUUGCUGAACCAUUAUUGACGCUGAGGCACGAAAGCGUGGGGAGCGAACAGGAUUAGAAACCCUAGUAGUCC